UUGAACGCUGGCGGCAGGCCUAACACAUGCAAGUCGAGCGGUAGAGAGAAGCUUGCUUCUCUUGAGAGCGGCGGACGGGUGAGUAAUGCCUAGGAAUCUGCCUGGUAGUGGGGGAUAACGUUCGGAAACGGACGCUAAUACCGCAUACGUCCUACGGGAGAAAGCAGGGGACCUUCGGGCCUUGCGCUAUCAGAUGAGCCUAGGUCGGAUUAGCUAGUUGGUGGGGUAAUGGCUCACCAAGGCGACGAUCCGUAACUGGUCUGAGAGGAUGAUCAGUCACACUGGAACUGAGACACGGUCCAGACUCCUACGGGAGGCAGCAGUGGGGAAUAUUGGACAAUGGGCGAAAGCCUGAUCCAGCCAUGCCGCGUGUGUGAAGAAGGUCUUCGGAUUGUAAAGCACUUUAAGUUGGGAGGAAGGGCAGUAAAUUAAUACUUUGCUGUUUUGACGUUACCGACAGAAUAAGCACCGGCUAACUCUGU
RNAcentral lists this ribosomal RNA (482 nucleotides) under uncultured bacterium. RNAcentral describes it as "partial 16S ribosomal RNA". It matches the Rfam family "Bacterial small subunit ribosomal RNA", at positions 30 to 506 of the family's 1533-position model. The record is from RNAcentral.